GGGUCUUGUACACACCGCCCGUCACACCACGGGAGUUGGAGACGCCCGAAGCCGAUUAUCUAAACUUUUGGAAGAAGUCGUCGAAGGUGGAAUUAAUAUAUGGGGUGAAGUAGUAACAAGGUAGACGGAUCGGAAGGUGCGGAUGGAUAACCUCCUUUCUAAGGAGA
RNAcentral lists this ribosomal RNA (167 nucleotides) under Clostridioides difficile. Its description in RNAcentral is "partial 16S ribosomal RNA". It matches the Rfam family "Bacterial small subunit ribosomal RNA", at positions 1376 to 1533 of the family's 1533-position model. Lineage: Bacteria; Bacillati; Bacillota; Clostridia; Peptostreptococcales; Peptostreptococcaceae. The record is from RNAcentral.